CCUACGGGAGGCAGCAGUGAGGAAUAUUGGUCAAUGGUCGGGAGACUGAACCAGCCAAGCCGCGUGAGUGAUGAAGGUACAGAGUAUCGUAAACCUCUUUUGUCAGGGCACAAAGGCGGGGACGUGUCCCCGGAUGAGUGUACCUGAAGAAAAAGCAUCGGCUAACUCCGUGCCAGCAGCCGCGGUAAUACGGAGGAUGCGAGCGUUAUCCGGAUUUAUUGGGUUUAAAGGGUGCGCAGGCGGUCUGUUAAGUAAGCGGUAAAAGCCCGGGGCUCAACCCCGGCCCGCCGUUGAAACUGGCAGUCUCGAGUUGGAGAGAGGUAUGCGGAAUGCGCGGUGUAGCGGUGAAAUGCAUAGAUAUCGCGCAGAACUCCGAUUGCGAAGGCAGCAUGCCGGCUCCACACUGACGCUGAGGCACGAAAGCGUGGGUAUCGAACAGGAUUAGAUACCCUAGUAGUC
This 459-nucleotide ribosomal RNA is filed under the name uncultured bacterium. RNAcentral's name for it is "partial 16S ribosomal RNA". It matches the Rfam family "Bacterial small subunit ribosomal RNA", at positions 338 to 795 of the family's 1533-position model. The record is from RNAcentral.